AGCCCCCCAUUACCCCUCUCAUUCCAUCUCUAUUCUCUCUCAAAGCAAACCCUAGCCGCCCCUUUAUUCCCUCGCUGCUCCGCGGGAAUCGCCUCACGGUGGUUCCGGCACUUCAAUCCACCCCAAAUCAACACCCCAGAUUCCCUUUCACCUCCUCUUUAUGAAUCUCUUAACCAGUUUCCCCUAAUCCCUGUUAAAUUUCUCGAAUCUUAGAUCAAAAUCUUGGCAAAAACCUCAACUGCUCCAAACAUAACCAAAUUGCUACCCCAUACUCCUCACCUCACCCUCUUCAUCAUUCCACCAUCAACUUGACCCAAAACCCCACCAAAUUCCCCUAAAUCUGGAGCUAGAAAGUUGAGCAGAAGACCUUAACCUACUCAGCUUCAAGGCUCAAAUUAGCCUGAAAUGCACGCUAGUCAGUUGUUCUCAAGAACAACUGAUUAACAUCAAUUUUGGGUCAUUUCGGAGAGAAUUUGACCCCUGCAUCAAUCCAGUGCCGCUUGAAGACCUUUUUUCGAUUUUUCUUUUCUUUUUAGGUAAAUCUCUUUGCCUUCUUGCUUUCUUUUUCCUUUACUAAGAGUCAUCUUCAUCUCCUUUCUUUAUGUUCAGUUACAUGUUUUAGGUUUAUUUUGUUUCCUUGCCAGAAUUGUGUUUGUUCUUCAAUGUUAGAAGCCGUCCCCUUUUCAAUUCUUGAACUUGCUUAAAAAAUCAAUUUCUUAGGGGUUAAAUUAACCCGAUUUCAAUUAGUGACUCAUGUAGUUUAAAUCUUGAAAUAACCUUAUUUUUGCUAUUGAUUAGUUGUUAAUUUCUUUCUUUUUAUUUGUUGUGCUAUUUGUUUGGAAUCAUCUUCUAGUAUACUGAAAUUGUAUGCUUAGUUUAUAUAUAUAUAUAUAGUUGUUUAAUGCAUAAUAUGCUUAGGUUCAGUGUUAUUCAAUUUGUUUUGUUCGUUUGUUUAAACCCGUCUGCCUAUGCUCAUUUUAAAAUUGCUAAUCUGAAAAGCAUUGUGAAGUUAGGUUUAUGUUUUAAUUUGCUUAAGUCAGCCUUGUUGGUUGUUCUGAUUCAAUUACUGAUUUUAGCCGAAUUUGUUUCUGUUUGCCUUAGUGUGUAGAUCAAUAGAAACUUUAUGGACUCAAUUGAACCUAAAAGUUUAGGAUAGAACAGAAAUAGGCAGUAACCUAAAGGUUAAAAUUGGAUUUUUUGCAUAGGCUAAAAAAUCAAAAAUGUACAGCUGUCCUAGCUGUUAUAUAAGAUGCUGAAAUAUAGGACAGUUGUACCAAGGGCUGUAAAAAGGAUAUUACUAUUUAUUCCUUAGGAUAAGGAAUAUACCCAAGAUAUACCCUCCCUAGGCAGCCUAUAUAUAGGUAGGUCCUGUCAUUCUGAUUUUUGGACCCAAAUUCAGCCUUAUUCUCUUCACAAAAAUCUCUGAAAACACAAUCAGAUUUUUUAGAACCCUAAGAAUAUAGACAAUCAUUAGCAUUUUCUAUAGUCAAAUGUUUUUGAAAACACUAAGAAAAUUCCUUAAAAGUUCUUUGAAAGUUUCAGUUUUUCUGGUUAUAUUCUUAAGCUGGUACUGUGAUAUUGAAGACAUUUUGGGUGUUAGAUUCUGGGAUUUUUCUGUUUUCGCAAGUCAAAAAAUGGUUUGAAUGUGGAGCUGGUAUUUGCUGUUAUAUACUGCUAGCUAUAUUAGCUGAAGUUCUUUGCUGAUUUUUACUGCCCCUCAGAGAUUUUUCUCAUUUUACUCUUUGUUGUACCCAGGUACUUCUGGAACCCUUGAAUGAUAAAGAUGAAGUUAUAAAUUUGUGGUGUUAAAAUAAAUGUCCAAGAGUGUUCAGUUCCAGUUUUUUCUUGUUUGUCUGCCUAUGAUAUCUUAUAUCUUUCUUGGAUGUACAGUUUUCUUUCCCCAUAUUUAAGAAUCUUGGAUCUGUUGUUGUAAUAUAUAGUGUACGGAUGUUCAACUUAGUUCAUUGUGAGAGUAUGUUAUUCAAAUGUUAUACAUGUUCAAAAGUGAAUAGUUAAUUGUAGAAAAGAUUUAUCUCACUGUCAGAAUGCUAGCAUAGUUAAAAUAACUAUACAUUCGAAAUUAGGAUGAUUAGUAAGCUAUUCAAUGAUAAUUUAGCAUUGUUAUAACAUGAUGGUGAAAUAAGACUCAUAGCAGGUUUGCCCAUGUAUGUUGAUUUUCUAGAAUUGUUAUAAUGUUG
Molecule: long non-coding RNA, 2198 nt
Filed under: Nicotiana tabacum (common tobacco)
Lineage: Eukaryota; Viridiplantae; Streptophyta; Magnoliopsida; Solanales; Solanaceae
Description: long non-coding RNA (NTAB_LNC016483)
Source: RNAcentral